Molecule: long non-coding RNA, 1597 nt
Organism: Rhineura floridana
Lineage: Eukaryota; Metazoa; Chordata; Lepidosauria; Squamata; Rhineuridae
Exons: 4
Source: RefSeq, a predicted model, not a curated record
UAAACCCCUUUCAUCCCAAAAGCUAUCUCAGGGCAGGUCACAACAUCACAUAGCUCAGUGGCAGAGCAUCUGUCUUAUAUGCAGAAAGUCCCGAUUCAGUCCCCAGGAUCUCCAGAUGGAAGAACUGAGGCUAAGAAAGUGUCAGACAAUCCACUCUGUCUACUGUCAUCACAGUAGAAAGCAGAUUUGAACUGAGGUCCAGCUCAGUCUGUUAGCCACUAGACUACACUGCUUAGGCCUCGGUGCACAGGAGACUCUAUCUGGCAAAAGUUCAAAAGCUGGAGAAGAAAAGGAACAGGAUCUGCAGUCAGGAGGACUGGAUCUGCAGUAACCACUCACGGUUCCAUGAUUAGCAGCAACAGAAUCAGUUAUGCAAGAGGACUGACCUCUGAGCCCACCCUGCAGGCAAAUUGUCUGUUAAGGGAACAAUUAGCCCUCAGAUCACCCAUCAGGCUCCAAAAUAGGAUGUUGCAGCUGGAGGACUCUAUAACCUACUUAUACAACGCAAAAAUGAGAACAGGGGAUUGGACACUCACUUCUACUGACCCCUCCCGCAGGAGUCUCUGUUCCGCAUCCAAAUCAGCCCACUGCAGUUUGUAUGCAUGAGAGAGCGUGGUGUAGUGGUUACAGCAGCCUUCACCAAUCUGGUGCCCUCCAGACAUAUUAGGCUGGGACUCCCAUCAGUCCCAGCCAGCACAGCACCUUGGACAGCUCCUUGAAAGUUCUGACUAAAAACCAGGAGUAGAUUCCACUGCUUUGCUGACAUGGAGCCACCAACCACCACUGUCUGAUGCAGUACUGAGUCAGGAAGCAUUCAGCCCCUUAUCUUAGCAAAUUAACCACCACUUUGCUGCUGCCUUUGAACACAAGUAGAGCUCACAGCUUUCAUCAAAAACUGACAUACUUGGCCAAUUAAAAUAUUAGCAGAGUUCAAUAGAAGCAUCUAAUUUUAGCCACUCUGGAAAGAUGACUCAAGCAGCGAAUCACUCGGGGCUCCCCAGACUCUGCAGAAGAAGCACCCAAGACUCGAGCUUUCUACCAACUCAAGAUCAAUUAAUUGAUUACAUUUAAAUAAGUUUGCUUAUGGGGCAAAACCUCAACAGGAGCACAUUAAAGUCAAUGCAAGAUUAUUUAUAUAGUGCUUCUACAGGCUUCACAUACAUUAUCUCAGUAAUCCUUCCAACAACCUUGUAAGGUAGGCUGAGAUUAACAACCAUGUAUUGUAGCCCAGGUGCUAGGAUGAGAGAUGGCAGUACUGCAUACCUAAGGCUUGCUCAGUCACUCAGACAGUGAAUUCAAGGUGAAGAUUAAAUUUCAUCCAGUAACGCAGAAUGGUCAUUCUCUGGACCAUUUACAUUGCACUAGAUCUCCAAUGCUAUCAGAUGCUAUCAUCUGGAGGGUUCUCACUGGGCUCCUCAAGAAAGCAAGAGACUCCCCAGCAGAAAAAGUGGGGGCAGCACAAGGGCAGUAUUCAGGGUCAGUCCAAAGUCAGAGUCCAGAGUCUACCUCAGAAACAAGGGUGUCAGGCAAGAAUCAGGCUCUGAGCAGUCUGGGGUCAGAAGCCGUGCUGUCUGUAGGCAAUGCAGGAAGGGGGCAA